UACGUAGGUGGCGAGCGUUGUCCGGAAUCAUUGGGCGUAAAGAGCGCGUAGGCGGCUUGUCAGGUCUGACGUGAAAUGCCGGGGCUUAACCCCGGACGUGCAUCAGAAACCGGCUUGCUAGAGUCUGGGAGAGGGAAGUGGAAUUCCUGGUGUAGCGGUGAAAUGCGCAGAUAUCAGGAGGAACACCGGUAGCGAAGGCUGCUUCCUGGAACAGUACUGACGCUGAGGCGCGAAAGCUAGGGGAGCAAACAGG
This 253-nucleotide ribosomal RNA is filed under the name uncultured bacterium. Its description in RNAcentral is "partial 16S ribosomal RNA". It matches the Rfam family "Bacterial small subunit ribosomal RNA", at positions 524 to 776 of the family's 1533-position model. The record is from RNAcentral.